This 495-nucleotide ribosomal RNA is filed under the name uncultured bacterium. RNAcentral describes it as "partial 16S ribosomal RNA". It matches the Rfam family "Bacterial small subunit ribosomal RNA", at positions 28 to 507 of the family's 1533-position model. The record is from RNAcentral.
GACGAACGCUGGCGGCGUGCCUAAUACAUGCAAGUAGAACGCUGAAGGAGGAGCUUGCUCUUCUGGAUGAGUUGCGAACGGGUGAGUAACGCGUAGGUAACCUGCCUGGUAGCGGGGGAUAACUAUUGGAAACGAUAGCUAAUACCGCAUAAGAGUAGAUGUUGCAUGACAUUUACUUAAAAGGUGCAAUUGCAUCACUACCAGAUGGACCUGCGUUGUAUUAGCUAGUUGGUGGGGUAACGGCUUACCAAGGCGACGAUACAUAGCCGACCUGAGAGGGUGAUCGGCCACACUGGGACUGAGACACGGCCCAGACUCCUACGGGAGGCAGCAGUAGGGAAUCUUCGGCAAUGGACGGAAGUCUGACCGAGCAACGCCGCGUGAGUGAAGAAGGUUUUCGGAUCGUAAAGCUCUGUCGUAAGAGAAGAACGAGUGUGAGAGUGGAAAGUUCACACUGUGACGGUAUCUUACCAGAAAGGGACGGCUAACUACGUG